ACAUAACUGCAUAAUCUAUUUCGUCAAACCAUGGCUGCCAUCAUCUGUAAUUGUAGGUUAUGCUCCCCUUCUUUCUAGUGGUUUCGUAAAUUUCUUCACAUUUUCAAAGCCCAAUAUACGUUAGAGAAAGAGGGAACGAUGGAUCCUUCAAGCGAACUCCAGAAAGAAAUAGAACGACUCAGCAGCGAACUUACCGAGACAGUUCGCGAAAAACUCCAGGCGGCCGAGUACGGUCUGGCAGUUUUGGAAGAGAAACAGCAACUGCAGGCCCAGUAUGAUGACUUGGAGUCCCAGUUGGAGGCCGCUAAGGCAGAACUGGAAUGUGCAAGAGAGGCUCUUGCUAAACAUCAUGUGGACCUUCGAAGGCACCAGCAGACAGGAGUGCAUAAUGAAGAGCGAUUUUUGGAGGAGACGGCUCAGAGGGAGGAAAACUAUCAGGCAUCAAUUACAGAUCUUGAAGCAGAAAUAAAGAUAGCCAAUGCAGCCAAAGAGCGACUGAAUAGUGAAAAUGAAAGGCUUUUAUCCAAUGUGAAUGAGCUUACUCAUCAGGUGGAGCUUCUUGAAGUCCAGCGCCAACAACUUAAGCAUGAAAACCGUGAAUACAAGAUUAGAGAAAAUCGAAAUCUGAGUGAUUAUGCAGAACUUGAGGAGGAAAACAUUUCGCUUCAGAAAACUGUUUCUCAGCUAAAGAUCAGCCAGGUUGAGCUGGAGGCAUUGAAGCAUGAAACAAAGCGGCUUCAAGAAGAGACUGAGGAUCUGCACAUGCAGGUAGAAGAAAUGACCAACCUGCGGCGCAUCGUUGAAAAAAAUCUAGAGGAAGCUCUUGGUUCCCUUCAGCAAGAACGUGAACAGAAGCAUGCUCUCAAGAAGGAACUUGACCAGCGUCUAACUCGCGAGUCUAUGUUUAAUUUGAGCAGUCUGGCUCAGUUUAGCGGACUGUCAGAAGGUCUCUCCUUUUCAUAUUGCAGCCACGAGUCAUCACAGGAUUCAGGGGCUGAAGAAGAUGGAGAGGGGCAGGAUCAUGCCCACCCAGCCUUGAAACGAAUCGAAGCUGAUUUUGCAUUCAUGAGAAAGGAUGGCGAAGCCCCUGCUACGCCUCGCUUAGGGGUUGUUGGAGACAUCCUUAGUGAGAUUCAGGUAACAGAAGUGGGAAAACUGGAAUCUAUGUUGCAACAAUCAGAAGAAGAGAAGUUAGAACUGCAGAAGGCACUUGAUGAAGCCCGCAAAUUGAUUCAAGACACACAGCUGGAUCUUACUGAGCAAAAGAAGCGAGCUGAUCAGCUGAAAUCCUACAUAGGGUCACUUUCCAGCCUCAGGGAAUCAUGUUCAAGGCUUCCAAAUGACCUAGAAGUAUCAUUUGAUGAGAGCCUUCUUCGGGAAAUAGAAGAAGAGCCAGAUCCUGACAGAAGAGCCCUCUUGCAGUUGCGGAACAAUUGGCAUUUAAGAGACAAAAAGUACAAGACAGCUUUGAAUGAAAUUGGCAGCUUGCAGGCGGAAAUACUAAGGCUUCAGGCAUGCACAACAGCACUCGAUCAGGGAGCGGAGUUUAAAGAGGCAUUAGAAGAGCUGCAGAGCAAAUGUAUGCUCUAUGAACAGACGAUUAGAGAACAAGAACAAGAUUUAAAAGCAAUGACAGAAGCAGCUGAACAUGCUCAGGGCAGUAUGAAUACCACAAGGGGUGAGUUAGUGCACAUCACAGAAGAAUUGGCUCAGCUUUACCACCUGGUUUGUGAGCUCAGCCGAGAAACACCAUCCAGAGUUAUGCUAGACCAUGCAAAGUCUUCUGUUGAGAUGGUCCAGCCUGCAGAUAGUGAACGAGAGAGCAGUGAGGAACCUGCAACACCACAAGGAGAGACUAAACCAGUUAUAGACUUAGACAUUGUCUCAACAACAUCCAAACUUAAAGCAAAAUCUCAUAGAAAUAAGAAGACAAUUCUCCAGGGAGGUGCGAAAGUCGAUCCUACAUCGUGUGAAAAACUUUCAGAAACAGUUGUUGAUCAGGUGAAAUUCUUGAAGCAAGCUGUUGACCACCUGAUGGAAAUUUCGAAGACAUGGAAUCGUGAUGGUACUAAUGAAGCUGGUGACAGCGGGGAGGACAUUGCAGAGCUGCAGGACCAAGUGGUGAAGCUCAAGGCAAUGUUGUCCACAAAGAGGGAACAGAUAGCCACACUUCGUUCAGUCCUUAAAGCCAACAAGUCCACUGCUGAAGUUGCCUUGGCAAACCUCAAACAGAAGUAUGAAAAUGAAAAAGUUAUCGUCACUGAAACAAUGCUGAAGCUGCGAAAUGAGCUCAAAUCGCUGAAAGAAGAUGCAGCCACAUUUGCCUCAUUGCGUGCCAUGUUUGCUCAACGAUGUGAUGAGUAUGUGACACAGCUGGAUGAAAGCCAGAGACAACUCGCAGCAGCAGAGGAGGAGAAGAAGACGCUCAACUCAUUGCUGCGUAUGGCCAUUCACCAGAAAUUAGCCCUCACCCAGCGCCUUGAGGACCUUGAGUUUGAUCGAGAGAGGCGUAACAUGACACGCCGUCCAGGCGGACGCGGGGCAGGCAAGAUAACCAACUCCAAAGUAAGUCACAACUACCAGUCUUCCUCUGACGACUAUGGUGGUUUCCAACGAAAGGGCUACCAUAACUUCCGCCGCGACUAUUAGAGUAGGGGAGGCUGGGGCCGUGCUGAGCUUUUUUGCCAAUGCUGGGGGAUAAACAAGCUGAUGUCCUGCAGUCCUGGCAGCUGCAGUAGCCAGCCCAUGACCACUAGCAUCACAGAAGACCGCAUGUGAAGAGAGGCAGCAGAGUCAUGCUGGCAGAACCCACGAAGUGAUAAACAUUACUUUGUGACUUAAAUGGAUAACACAAAAGCCGUGAUGUACAAUUAGCCCCAGUUUUUCUCUGCUCGGCUUUCCUGCCUCACUUUGUUAUCAUAUUCCACAAUGGUCUUUCGUGUACUGUAUUUGCCUUGCUGAAUCUCGCUCUGUUUACGUCACACAACCCAAGUAUCUUUGUUUAAAUUUUCUAAUCUGGAAUUAUAAGUUUUCUUUUUAAAGUAGUGAAAGUGAGCAUCACAUCAAAAUAUUUGAAUCAGUGAUGAGUUAUUUCCUUACAAGUGGAAAGGGUUAGUGGUCAUUGUUUUUUGUCACCACUCAAGGUAAGGAAGAAGGAGCUACCUCUUCUGUUCGUAGUGCCAUUUAUUUGUUCACACUUCAGUGACUGAGUACAAGGCCAUGGUGCUUUGGUGAAGAAUAGACUCAGUUGUUAGACUUGGGUGUCUGCAGAAGUAUCCCAAGCACUACAGAGGUCCUUGGCUGAUGCACCUCCAACCUAUGAUUGGUUCAAAGCCUCUGUCCUUACAGAUGCUAACUGGUCAUCCCAGGAAUGGUUCUCUUUUGCCUCAUAUUGGGGCUAAGCACAUUUUUGCAGAAUGAAAGGCUAGAAGUUUAGUUUCAUUUUUUUGUGAGGACAAUACACAUGAAAUAUGGAAGUCUUGCUUGAAGAGUUGCAGUAGUUUACUGCACAGGCUGUUGAUGCAAUCUGUAAAGGAUGCAGAACACGGUAGCUUCAUGGCUGUGUUGGUGCAGCAUCAGCAUGUUUAAAGUUUGUGAUUCCUUCACUUAAAUGGUUCAUUCCUCAGCAAGCAAAUCCCAUUCUGGGAGAAGAGGCAGAAGAGAGAGUAAUAAAAAGAUUUGUCAAGUGUGCUUGGAGUUCUGACCAGUUGCGCAUUUAGCUUGUUCAUCAAAUUGUAUACCAGGACCUGUAAUUUGUAUGAUUUUUCUUUUUAUCACUGAGGGAUGGAGAUGUCAUAAUCGCUAACUGGAAAUGGUAAGUCUUAUUUACAUGUGUAUCUGUAAGUUAUUCUGUGAUAUUAUUGAUGUACGCUUGGUGGCUGACCAGAAAUGCUUGAAUGAAUUUUACACCUUGGAUAUGCUGGGUAGAAGGUCUUGGGUUUUUUUUAAAAAAAGGUAGUUGUAUAAAUACAUGGUCAGUAAUGGUGGCAUAGAAUGCUUUUGCUUUAGUCCACACUGUUUGUGGUGGCAAGGACAAUUUGUUGAGCACAAAUUGAAUUUCUUUAGGGUUUUUUAGGUGAUUAAAUCAUGUCUAAGAACAUAAAUAUUUACACUAGUCACGAAUGUAUAGCUUUUCAAGAAGAGUGUUUAGAAUGCAUGCGUGAUUUACAAAGUUAUGUACAGGAAUGUUUACAUUUAGGCAGUAGCAAGCUGGACUUUCGUAAGAAUUCACUGACCAUCACCUUCAGAAGUUUGCACUUGGUCUCAGGUUUGAAGCUGCAUAGCGGUGGUCAGUUUUGGUGGGAUCAGUCAUGCUUUAUGACCGCUUAGUGGAGGCUUUCGCUCUUUCUUUUCAGUUUUAAUGUGCAAUGAACUUCAGCUUGUUAUAAAAAUAUAUUAAGCGAAUUAGACAUUACAAGCAUGUGAUUACAAGCAAGAGCAUCAUGGUUUGUACUGAAAGAUCUGUAUGACACAGGGUUUCAUUUGUUUGCAUUCACAAUUUAUUUAUUUUUGUAUGGGGGAAUGUAAGAUUGAAAUGCGCUAUUAUUUUUAUCUGUGAUGUUGAAAGAACUCUGUAAGAGCCAACGGUAUGGUGAUUUUUUUUUUAGGCCAUGUAUGCUGUUUGUAUUUGCUCGGCAGUUAUUGGGAAUGCCGUGCUCCUAUGUUUGACUGUUUGAUCAAGCUUUGGGUACUGUCCCACAGAAACGUCAUUUCGUACAAUCCCUAAUGAUUAAGCUUUUGCAGGCACCAUUAAAUGCAUUUUUAAAACUUU
This 4771-nucleotide unclassified non-coding RNA is filed under the name Pomacea canaliculata. RNAcentral's name for it is "protein bicaudal D-like, transcript variant X1". Lineage: Eukaryota; Metazoa; Mollusca; Gastropoda; Architaenioglossa; Ampullariidae. The record is from RNAcentral.